This is a long non-coding RNA of Labeo rohita (rohu), 387 nucleotides long. RefSeq lists it as uncharacterized. NCBI's taxonomy places the organism in Eukaryota, Metazoa, Chordata, Actinopteri, Cypriniformes, Cyprinidae. The record is from RefSeq and is a predicted model, not a curated record. The transcript is spliced from 2 exons.
AUAGAUCAUCAGAAACCCACUUGCAAACGGUGUCAUCGAAGUUCUCUCUCAAAAGGAGGAAAUACAUCGAACUUAAUAAAACACCUCAAAGACCGACACCCAGAUUUAAUGAAAGUUCAAGCAGCUGCAGGCUGAAGAAGACCACGAACCAAACUCUUAAGCAGACAAUGGUUCCAGAUGCUUUUGAGCAGCAGAAGUACGACAAAAAGGCAAGAAAACUGAACCGAGCUGUUGCUGAAUUCACAUGUAUGGAUUAAGUGCCAGUUUAUACAGUGAAAAAUGGGGAUUCCAGCAAAUGCUUCAUCACCUCAGCUCAAAAUACCAGCUUCCAAGUCAAAACUUUGUUUUAUUUUUGUUUGUUAUAAAUAAAAAUAGUGUGUUGUUCAA